This 454-nucleotide ribosomal RNA is filed under the name uncultured bacterium. Its description in RNAcentral is "bacterial SSU rRNA". It matches the Rfam family "Bacterial small subunit ribosomal RNA", at positions 340 to 784 of the family's 1533-position model. The record is from RNAcentral.
UACGGAAGGCAGCAGUGGGGAAUAUUGCACAAUGGGCGCAAGCCUGAUGCAGCCAUGCCGCGUGUAUGAAGAAGGCCUUCGGGUUGUAAAGUACUUUCAGUCGUGAGGAAGGUGUUAAGGUUAAUAACCUUAGCAAUUGACGUUAGCGACAGAAGAAGCACCGGCUAACUCCGUGCCAGCAGCCGCGGUAAUACGGAGGGUGCGAGCGUUAAUCGGAAUUACUGGGCGUAAAGGGCACGCAGGCGGUUAAUUAAGUUGGAUGUGAAAUCCCCGGGCUUAACCUGGGAAUGGCAUUCAAGACUGGUUAGCUAGAGUCUUGUAGAGGGGGUAGAAUUCCAUGUGUAGCGGUGAAAUGCGUAGAGAUGUGGAGGAAUACCGGGUGGCGAAGGCGGGCCCCUGGGACAAAGACUGACGCUCAUGUGCGAAAGCGUGGGGAGCAAACAGGGAUUAGAUA